CCUACGGGUGGCUGCAGUGGGGAAUAUUGCACAAUGGGGGAAACCCUGAUGCAGCGACGCCGCGUGAAGGAAGAAGUAUUUCGGUAUGUAAACUUCUAUCAGCAGGGAAGAAAAUGACGGUACCUGACUAAGAAGCCCCGGCUAACUACGUGCCAGCAGCCGCGGUAAUACGUAGGGGGCAAGCGUUAUCCGGAUUUACUGGGUGUAAAGGGAGCGUAGGCGGUGUAGCAAGUCAGAAGUGAAAGCCGGGGGCUCAACUCCGGGACUGCUUUUGAAACUGUUGAACUAGAGUGCAGGAGAGGUAAGUGGAAUUCCUAGUGUAGCGGUGAAAUGCGUAGAUAUUAGGAGGAACACCAGUGGCGAAGGCGGCUUACUGGACUGUAAAUGACGCUGAGGCUCGAACGCGUGGGGAGCAAACAGGAUUAGAUACCCUUGUAGUC
Molecule: ribosomal RNA, 440 nt
Filed under: uncultured bacterium
Lineage: Bacteria
Description: partial 16S ribosomal RNA
Rfam family: Bacterial small subunit ribosomal RNA
Source: RNAcentral